This 301-nucleotide ribosomal RNA is filed under the name uncultured bacterium. Its description in RNAcentral is "partial 16S ribosomal RNA". It matches the Rfam family "Bacterial small subunit ribosomal RNA", at positions 509 to 809 of the family's 1533-position model. The record is from RNAcentral.
CAGUCGCCGCGGGAAUACGAAGGGUGCAAGCGUUAAUCGGAAUUACUGGGCGUAAAGCGCGCGUAGGUGGUUUGGUAAGAUGGAUGUGAAAUCCCCGGGCUCAACCUGGGAACUGCAUCCAUAACUGCCUGACUAGAGUACGGUAGAGGGUGGUGGAAUUUCCUGUGUAGCGGUGAAAUGCGUAGAUAUAGGAAGGAACACCAGUGGCGAAGGCGACCACCUGGACUGAUACUGACACUGAGGUGCGAAAGCGUGGGGAGCAAACAGGAUUAGAUACCCCCGUAGUCCCUGUCUCUUAUAA